GUUUAUUGAAGACGGAGAGAGACUGGAGUGAUACAGAGAAGACCAGCAUGGCCUCUGCACAAGGAUGAUGUGCAAAUUCAUGAAGCGUUCCAUAUUAAA
Small nuclear RNA from Panthera leo (lion), 99 nucleotides. The record is from Ensembl. NCBI's taxonomy places the organism in Eukaryota, Metazoa, Chordata, Mammalia, Carnivora, Felidae.